GACGAACGCUGGCGGCGUGCUUAACACAUGCAAGUCGAACGGAAAGGCCCUGCUUUUGUGGGGUGCUCGAGUGGCGAACGGGUGAGUAACACGUGAGUAACCUGCCCUUGACUUUGGGAUAACUUCAGGAAACUGGGGCUAAUACCGGAUAGGAGAUCCUGCUGCAUGGUGGGGGUUGGAAAGUUUCGGCGGGUGGGGAUGGACUCGCGGCUUAUCAGCUUGUUGGUGGGGUAGUGGCUUACCAAGGCAUUGACGGGUAGCCGGCCUGGGAGGGUGACCGGCGACAUUGGUACUGAGAUACGGCCCAGAGUCCUACGGGAGGCAGCAGUGGGGAAUAUUGCACAAUGGGCGGAAGCCUGUUACAGCAACGCCGCGGGCGGGAUGACGGCCUUCGGGUUGUAAACCGCUUUCGCCUGUGACGAAGCGUGAGUGACGGUAAUGGGUAAAGAAGCACCGGCUAACUACGUG
RNAcentral lists this ribosomal RNA (468 nucleotides) under uncultured bacterium. RNAcentral's name for it is "partial 16S ribosomal RNA". It matches the Rfam family "Bacterial small subunit ribosomal RNA", at positions 28 to 507 of the family's 1533-position model. The record is from RNAcentral.